Molecule: ribosomal RNA, 253 nt
Filed under: uncultured bacterium
Lineage: Bacteria
Description: partial 16S ribosomal RNA
Rfam family: Bacterial small subunit ribosomal RNA
Source: RNAcentral
UACGGGGGGAGCAAGCGUUGUUCGGAAUUACUGGGCGUAAAGGGCGCGUAGGCGGUUAAGUGAGUGAGAUGUGAAAGGCUCCGGCUCACCCGGAGAAAUGCAUCUCAUACUGCUUAGCUAGAGUACAGGAGAGGAAACGAGAAUUCCAGGUGUAGCGGUGAAAUGCGUAGAUAUCUGGAGGAAUACCGGUGGCGAAGGCGCGUUUCUGGCCUGUUACUGACGCUGAUGCGCGAUAGCUAGGGGAGCAAACGGG